GAUGAACGCUGGCGGCGUGCCUAACACAUGCAAGUCGAGCGAACCUUUCGGGGUGAGCGGCGGACGGGUGAGUAACGCGUGGGUAACCUGCCCUAUACACACGGAUAACGUACCGAAAGGUACGCUAAUACGGGAUAAAGUUGUUGGAUGGCAUCUUCUAACAAUCAAAGCUCCGGCGGUAUAGGAUGGACCCGCGUCUGAUUAGCUAGUUGGUGAGGUAAUGGCUCACCAAGGCGACGAUCAGUAGCCGACCUGAGAGGGUGAUCGGCCACACUGGAACUGAGACACGGUCCAGACUCCUACGGGAGGCAGCAGUGGGGAAUAUUGCACAAUGGGCGAAAGCCUGAUGCAGCAACGCCGCGUGAGCGAUGAAGGUCUUCGGAUCGUAAAGCUCUGUCCUCAAGUAAGAUAAUGACGUUACCUGAAGAAGAAGCACCGGCUAACUACGUGCCAGCCGCCGCUGUAA
This 466-nucleotide ribosomal RNA is filed under the name uncultured bacterium. Its description in RNAcentral is "partial 16S ribosomal RNA". It matches the Rfam family "Bacterial small subunit ribosomal RNA", at positions 28 to 523 of the family's 1533-position model. The record is from RNAcentral.